GCCACUGCUAUUGGGGUUCGGCUAAGCCAUGCGAGUGGAGGGCGUCCCGCAAGGGAUGGCCCCGCAGACGGCUCAGUAACACGUCGUUAACCCACCUUAGGGUGGGGGACAACCUCGGGAAACUGAGGAUAAUCCCCCAUAGGCGGGGGAGGCUGGAAUGCGCCCCCGCUGAAAGCUCAGGCGCCCUAGGACGGGACGGCGGCCUAUCAGGUAGUUGGUGGUGUGACG
This 228-nucleotide ribosomal RNA is filed under the name uncultured archaeon. RNAcentral's name for it is "partial 16S ribosomal RNA". It matches the Rfam family "Archaeal small subunit ribosomal RNA", at positions 23 to 246 of the family's 1478-position model. The record is from RNAcentral.